RNAcentral lists this ribosomal RNA (505 nucleotides) under uncultured bacterium. RNAcentral's name for it is "partial 16S ribosomal RNA". It matches the Rfam family "Bacterial small subunit ribosomal RNA", at positions 28 to 523 of the family's 1533-position model. The record is from RNAcentral.
GAUGAACGCUAGCUACAGGCUUAACACAUGCAAGUCGAGGGGUAACGAGAGGAAAGCUUGCUUUCCUUGUCGACGACCGGCGCACGGGUGAGUAACGCGUAUCCAACCUGCCCCCAACUAGGGAAUAACCUUGCGAAAGUAAGACUAAUACCCUAUAAUUUCCUCAGAUGUCAUCUGACGAGGAAUAAAGAUUUAUCGGUUGUGGAUGGGGAUGCGUCUGAUUAGCUUGUUGGCGGGGUAACGGCCCACCAAGGCAACGAUCAGUAGGGGUUCUGAGAGGAAAGUCCCUACAUUGGAACUGAGACACGGUCCAAACGCCUACGGGAGGCAGCAGUGAGGAAUAUUGUUCAAUGGGCGGAAGCAUGAACCAGCCAAGUAGCAUGCAGGAUGACGGCACUAUUAGUUGUCAACUGCUUUUAUACAGGAAUAAAGUUAGCCACGUGUGGUUAUUUGUAGGUACUGUAUGAAUAAGGACCGGCUAAUUCCGUGCCAGCCGCCGCAGUAA